GACGAACGUUUGCGGCGUGCUUAACACAUGCAAGUCGAACGGAAAGGCCCUGCUUUUGUGGGGUGCUCGAGUGGCGAACGGGUGAGUAACACGUGAGUAACCUGCCCUUGACUUUGGGAUAACUUCAGGAAACUGGGGCUAAUACCGGAUAGGAGCUCCUGCUGCAUGGUGGGGGUUGGAAAGUUUCGGCGGUUGGGGAUGGACUCGCGGCUUAUCAGCUUGUUGGUGGGGUAGUGGCUUACCAAGGCUUUGACGGGUAGCCGGCCUGAGAGGGUGACCGGCCACAUUGGGUCUGAGAUACGGCCCAGACUCCUACGGGAGGCAGCAGUGGGGAAUAUUGCACAAUGGGCGGAAGCCUGAUGCAACAACGCCGCGUGCGGGAUGACGGCCUUCGGGUUGUAAACCGCUUUCGCCUGUGACGAAGCGUGAGUGACGGUAAUGGGUAAAGAAGCACCGGCUAACUACGUGCCAGCAGCCGCGGUGAUACGUAGGGUGCGAGCGUUGUCCGGAUUUACUGGGCGUAAAGGGCUCGUAGGUGGUUGAUCGCGUCGGAGGUGUAAUCUUGGGGCUUAACCCUGAGCGUGCUUUCGAUACGGGUUGACUUGAGGAAGGUAGGGGAGAAUGGAAUUCCUGGUGGAGCGGUGGAAUGCGCAGAUAUCAGGAGGAACACCAGUGGCGAAGGCGGUUCUCUGGGCCUUUCCUGACGCUGAGGAGCGAAAGCGUGGGGAGCGAACAGGCUUAGAUACCCUGGUAGUCCACGCUGUAAACGGUGGGUACUAGGUGUGGGGUCCAUUCCACGGGUUCCGUGCCGUAGCUAACGCUUUAAGUACCCCGCCUGGGGAGUACGGCCGCAAGGCUAAAACUCAAAGGAAUUGACGGGGCCCCGCACAAGCGGCGGAGCAUGCGGAUUAAUUCGAUGCAACGCGUAGAACCUUACCUGGGUUUGACAUGGAUCGGGAGUGCUCAGAGAUGGGUGUGCCUCUUUUGGGGUCGGUUCACAGGUGGUGCAUGCCUGUCGUCAGCUCGUGUCGUGAGAUGUUGGGUUAAGUCCCGCAACGAGCGCAACCCUUGUUCACUGUUGCCAGCACGUUAUGGUGGGGACUCAGUGGAGACCGCCGGGGUCAACUCGGAGGAAGGUGGGGAUGACGUCAAGUCCUCAUGCCCCUUAUGCCCAGGGCUUCACGCAUGCUACAAUGGCUGGUACAGAGAGUGGCGAGCCUGUGAGGGUGAGCGAAUCUCGGAAAGCCGGUCUCAGUUCGGAUUGGGGUCUGCAACUCGACCUCAUGAAGUCGGAGUCGCUAGUAAUCGCAAAUCAGCAUCGCUGCGGUGAAUACGUUCCCGGGGCU
This 1346-nucleotide ribosomal RNA is filed under the name uncultured bacterium. RNAcentral describes it as "bacterial SSU rRNA". It matches the Rfam family "Bacterial small subunit ribosomal RNA", at positions 28 to 1381 of the family's 1533-position model. The record is from RNAcentral.